UAUGGAUUCUCUUCACGCAACCAUCCAGCUGUCCUGAUGCAUUGGCAGGCUGACCCGGUCUCCAAGAGCACAGUCAACCUGGACUGAUUGUCAUCCACAGCAGCACUGUGGCUGGGUCUGAAGCUGGUGCCAGCUGAGGUGCUUGGCAGAGAUGCACAGGCUGCCGGGUUUUUUUGACUCUCCAAAGAGCUGCAGGGCCAUGUGCUGACGUUGACACAGGCUGGCACUGUGCUUGGUAAAUGUUCAGUGAGGAAAGGCCUUAUCCAGUUCCUUGUUUUCGGUCAGUAAAUGCCAUGGAUGAUGUGGGUGGGAGGCUGCUG
Molecule: long non-coding RNA, 320 nt
Organism: Empidonax traillii (willow flycatcher)
Lineage: Eukaryota; Metazoa; Chordata; Aves; Passeriformes; Tyrannidae
Exons: 3
Source: RefSeq, a predicted model, not a curated record